UUACCUUUUUACAUUAUAAAUACUACUGUUUUCAAAAGCCACGAUGCAAAAUUGUUGGAGAGGUUUAAGCAAAUAGUCCAAUCUUUGGCAGACUUACUUUGAACUAAACCAGACUGGACACUGUACAUAAAAUAGUAAUAGUACAAACUGCAAAUGUUUGUUUAGUGAAUCAGCAGCAGUGAUGACACUCAGAUUCCUGGAUCUCACCCUUUUAUUAAUUAAUCUGCUUUUCCAAAGGUCCCACAAGCAUUUCCUCCACCAGGAACACCUUUUUCCAACUUCCAUUCUUAGAUAAAAAAUUGCCACUUGACUUUUUGCUCAGAUGGAAAAAGGGAGAGUGGUUUUGGUCGGCCACGGGAGAGUGUUCCAGCUUCAAGGGUAUUCCCUGAACUCAAACUGAAAGCUGUGCUCUCCAGCCUGAACCUCGGCCAUGAGGACUUCCGCCUGCGUUAGCCACCCCAUUGAGUCUUUUGAAGGAGCUGAGGAGACGAUUCAGCAGCUGACUACUAGGACUUUCAUUGAUGAUCCUCUGCAUUUGGGUGGAAGAGGAUGAACUGGGCCCCAGCAAGGAUGGGAGUCUCUGAAUCUUCAGCCUGAAUGCCAGGAAAUUACUCAUAAACUGAACUAUUUCUGCAGAGAUUACCUUCUCUUGUGGCAUUUUAAAAAUUGAGUUCUGAGCAUGUAGGAAAUGACAUGUUUUGCAUCCAGACAUGAAGAACAUAUUUUAUAUCUUUGACUAGAACAACAUUUUGAACUUUAAAUGUAAAGCCCUGGCAUGCAUUCAGCCAUGGAAAAUCUGAUUUCUUUCCCUUCCUUUAGAUGCUUGUAAUUUUAAUUGCUAUAGUUUUUUUAAAUGACCAUGCCCACUAACACCAAAAUACACAGUGCAGACAAAUAAUACAGAUGCAUGGCUACAAAUUCCUCAUACACUCGUACUGUACAUAUGCCCCCAGCACUACCUACCAUCACGCUUUGUAAGUAUUCAAGCCUGCCCACCAAAAAGCACAAUAAUCUGCUGAUGCAGUUACUUUUGUUCUUCUAAGAAAAUUGUUAACAACUAUCAUAUCCUCUAUCUGGCUACCAAUAUUGGUAAUCCAGUAAAAGCUCCUUGACCUCUUGAAUUGGAAGGUAAAUCAAACAUGCGUGUCCCUCAGGAUGCUGGCAAACAUUCUGCUUGCGACUAGCAAAGAAAGUGACUUCUUCAUCUGAAUUGCUUUUCUUCCUUGUACAACUGAAGAAACCCCAGCAGUUUUCCCUGUGAAGAAGAGGCUUUGCAUUUACACAGGUAACCACAGAUAAGUCCUUCUCAAAACUAGAGCUAAAGACUUGACUGUGAUCAUGCUCCCUGUGUCUUUGGUGUCCUGCAAUCUUUCUCGUGCUGAAGCAGAACUUUUGAUCCCAUAAAAAUACCGUAGAAGGAAGGCCUCCAGCACAAAUUGAUGAUCUGGUGAAGGAUACCAUCAGCGCUCUGCUGGAAAUUAGCACUGUCUACUGCCUCCUCCUCACUGUGCUGCCACUGACAUCUAUAGCCCUGCCAGUACCUUCUGUUAUUAAAUAUUAAAUAUUCCCAAUGAGAUGGGUGAUAAGGAAAUGAUAAAAUUAGAAAUAUGGCUAAAUCUUAAGUAAGACAACAUGAUUUGUUUCAAGAGGAAGCACUACAUUUUAACAUGAUUUCUGCCUUGCACAGUUGAGGGAGCCUUUAAAAGCUAUAUUGACAUUUCUUAGAGAUAUUAUGAGUUUAGGUUUGGAAAUGCAGAUACACAAAAUUGUAUUUCUUCCUGGAAAAAUAUGCCCAGAGAAGUAGGCUGUUCUUAACUGAAUGACGUUUUCAGUAUUUGCAGCACCUCCCCCCACAGUAUUUGCUUAACAUUGCAAUUAAUGUUCCACAUUUUUCUUUACCAGAAAACGCUGAGCAAUGCUAGAGUGGGUCUGUGUUGAUCACGGAUGCUGUAAACACGGCAAGUCACUCCUAGACAGCAAAAUCCAAACUCUGACAGGCCCACAUUUGAUAAACAGUGGCAUUAUCAUAAUCUUCAACAACUGCAUUGUUUAUUUAGAAAGUCUUCCUCAAUCCCUUAACAAAUUAGUCUGGAAGCCACUGGGGGGAUUAACUUCAGAAAUUCUCCCUCAGAUUGCAAUUAGAUCUGCUCAGAUAUCAUGAGCGAUAGACAUUUGCAUAAGUCCUACCCAGCCUUUAUUACUAAUUGCAUUUGCAGUGAUAUGACUACCACUGGGGUCUAUCUUUUCCAACUGAGUUACAAAAUGCAGCACUCUGCAGCGGCAACCAUGCCCUGGUGAAAGAGGUGCACCCGGCAGAGGGUGUAACACCUAAUACCUAAGAAUGUAAUUGCCAACCACUUUUCCUGACCAUUUAGAUUAAGAAGUAAGUGACACUGGAUGGUGUCCUGGAUACUUUCAGGGCAAAGUCUUUCACCUUGGGUCCAGUGACUAAAAGUUAUGCCUAGCUGGUGGCAGCUAGCUGGCUUUUCUCCAAGGAGCUGGCAAUCCCUAUUCAGCUGCAGGCAUGUGCCUGCCUCAUAAAUCACCCGCGGUGCUGGCAGCCUUGUUGGCAGGUUCGGCAGGGAGACUGAGAGCUGAGCAAACAAGGCUUUCGUGCUGAAACGGGAGCCUCCCGCCCGAGGGACAGUGUGGCGGUGGGGUGGCAUGGCGAAGCUGAGCAGCAGCGCAAUGUUCCUGUUCACUUGUUGAUCCUUGGGGGACAGGGCACCAUGGACUCUGCACUUCUAACAAGAGUUAGUCCCCUUUAUAGAAGAGAAAGCAGUAACCCAUGUCCUCAGAGUCUUUUGACACAGCUGUCACAAUGAUUUUUACUAAAAUAUUGGUAUCUGCCUUUUUUCCCCCCAAAGGCAAAGGGGCAAGAUCAAUUAUUGUCCCUGAAUAAAGAAUAAUUAUAUUUCCAUGACAGGUGAAUUUGCCAUCAUCAGAGAGGGUCUGUGUUUUCAGAAGGAACAAGAUAACCUAUCUGUCAGCUCCACAGGCACCCGGUGUGGGGGCACGUGUGCUGUAGCCAGCAGGGCUUGUGCUCAUCUCCAUAGCAGACUGUCAGAGGUUGCUGUAUUUCAACCCACCCUUUUCAAAACAAAGUGCUACAUUAACCUCUCCAACACAGACGAGCACCACUCCCACUGCCUGCAACUGCCCGCAAUGCUUGUGCUUAUACAAGGAGUUUGGAUUAAAGGGCAGGUCCUGCCUGUCCACAGCAGGGGAAUGCAAAUGGCCACUGAGCUUCCAGGUCCCCAUGAGUGCAUCAGCAUGCAGCCCUGUAGGUCUUGACUUUUUGGGUACAGCUGUGUCACCUCACCACAGCCUGGUGGCUGGAUGAAAUGUGGUCCCAGGCAGCUUUUGGGUGGGAAAACAGGUAGACUUGAGUUGUCAAAAGGGAAGCUUUGUAUCCUUAAGUCCUUCAGAAGUGUUCUGCCUCUGGCCAUUGCUAGGCAGUUGUGUGACACGGGUUCCCAGAAUCAAAACAGAGGCUCUAGUAAAACAAAGGCAGUGAUGAAUGUUAGAGAUUUGCUAUAAAGAUAUUCCUAAAGAUAAUUCUGCUAAUGAGUUGCAGGCAUAACACAUGUAGGAGAAUGAGAAAAUGCAGGCGUUGUACAAGACUGAACCUGAGAGCUUAUGUACACCACACGGUCAGCUGAAGCAAGUGCUCUGUAUGAGCAAGGCACGCUCCAGUGAGACACAUCACGUGUCUAAGGUAAAUUUGUGCCAUCCUUGCUGCAGUGUGCAACUGUCCCCUCCACAUCUGCUGGUGGGCCCUGGUGGCUACUGCGCACUGCCUGCUCCCACCACCUCUGCAGCUGCCCCGCGAGACUGCUGCUUCCCCGCUUACAUCUCCCUUGGGAGCUCACUGGGUUCGUUGGGCUUUCUGUCAAGUCUGUACAUUUACUCACCCUUUUCCUUCUGCUAGACCAGAGGCUGCCAUUGGACUGGAGAUCUGGAGGGCACCUCUGCAGAAAAGCCUUGCAAGCAAAGAAACUGGCUCGAUUCUUCUGCUUCAUUUAGAAGACAGGGACUCUCCCCCCCAUCAAAAAAAACCCAACAAACCCAAAACCCAAGAACCUUCCCUUUACAUCUCCAACUUUGCCAGGUAAAUGUUGCAAUUUUUAUCUCAAGCCUUUGGUCCUGUCCAUUAUGGAAAGCCUUUAUCCUGAAGCUGCUGAACACCAAGCCUGUUGUAAAGUGCUUCUCAUUUCUUGCUUAGUGUCAUGGUUUAACCCCUGUGGGCAGCUAAGUCCCACACAGUUGCUCACUCACUGCCCCACAGUGGGAUGGCGGAGAGAAUCAGAAGGGUAAAAGUAAGAAAACUCCUGGAUUGAGAUAAAGACAGUUUAACAGGUAAAGCAAAAACCGCGCAUGCAAGCAAAGCAAAACAAGGAAUUCAUUCACUCCUUCCCAUGGGCAGGCAGGUGUUCAGCCACCUCCAGGAAAGCAGGGCUCCAUCACACACAACGGUGACUUGGGAAGACAAACACCAUAACUCUGAAUGUCUCUCCCUUCCUCUUUCUUCCCCAGAGCUUUUAUUGCUGAGCAUGACAUCAUACGGUGUGGAAUAUGACUUUGGUCAGUUGGGGUCAGCUGUCCCAGCUACGCCCUCUCCCAACUUCUUAUGCCCCCCCAGCCUACUCACUAGCAGGGCAGUGUGAGGAGCAGAAAAGGCCUUGACACUGUGUAAGCACUGCUCAGCAUUAGCUAAAACAUCCCUCUGUUAUCACUGCUGUUUUCGUCACAGAUCCAAAACACAGCCCCAUACCAGCUACUAUGAAAAAAAUUAACUCUACCUCAGCCAAAACCAGCACACUUGGACAUGACAAAAAAUGCACAUGGAGGUGGACAGUGUGCGUGGAGUGACGGUGGGUGGUUUGGAACAGACCUGCCAAUGCUUUUUGUUUUAUUUUAACAGUAAGAGCAUUGACAAAUACUGUCUUCCAAGAGGUAUACUCUCAACUUAUGCCACUUCAGACAUUUAUAUUUCCAGAGCUCCCAUACUACAUUUCUGACCAACAAAUUGCCUGACUACAUAAACAUCAGCAAAUGAAGCCCUGACCUCGCCUGGGGCUGCUUUUUUCUUCCUGUCUUUUCCUCCCUGACUCUGUCCUUCCUUCCACUUCAUUCUCCAAGUCCCAGGCAAGUGCAGAUGGGAUUUGUUGCUCUGUUGCAACCUGCUUCAUCCCAAGCCUACCUGAGCUGGCAGCAGUCCCAACUCCACAUCACCUCCAAGACCCUCUGCUGCCCCCAGCUCUGUCCAGAGCCCAGCAGCCAGGGAGGGCGCACAAACUCUGUGCAGCAGUGCUGAAGAGCUCUCACUGAGACUGCACUGCGAACAAACGGGGCUCACUGAGGCCUCCCCAGAAAUAGGGCUGGUCGGUUUUCGCCCAGAGGUACACCACUUCCCAGCAGGGAUGGUCAGUCUGUGACACACGGUAUGGAGGACUUGUGGAUGCAGACUCAAAAAGGUAAGUUCUGCUGGUGCCACAGCACAGUUGUACAGUCACAGUUAAAUAACCCUUUGGGAUCAGCUUUGGCCAAGGAACCCACGGGCAAAGGAGAAAGCUGCCCUCCCGCCCACUCGCCUGCUGGCUGAGCAAGCACAAGGGGAGAGCUGCAGCAUGCACCCAAGGUACGGAAAAUCAAUUACAGUGCGGGUCCUGGCACUGAAACAGAGGGUGUUUUGGCACCUGGAAACAGCUUUCAGCCAGUGAGUGAGGGAUAGAUCCUCCCUGGGAAGGAAAGGUACUGGCAAAUUCUAGUGUGCAAGUGGGCUGAGCGCUAAAUCUCUACAGCAUUAGCUCAGACUUCAGCAAUACUCAAGCUCCAGCUUGCCCCAGAUGAAGGCCAGCUAACUCAAGAGAAACCAUUGUUUACCACAGGCAGGCGAUUUUCGAAAGCAUAUGUGAGUCUGAUUUAGAGCAAUGUACCUCCUGUGCUUUGAAUUCACAGUGCACUGAAGAUCAGCUCUAAGCAGACCUCAUUUCUUUUAAGUUUAUCUCUAACUGAAGAAUUUGCCUGUUUUCUCUGGCAGCUGUCUUCAGGCUAAACGCAGGUCUGGGCUCUGCUGGGUGGGAAGCGCACAGGUAUGGAAAGCAGCAGGUAACUGCUAACUGCAACCUCUGUGAAAGGGUGGGCUACUCCUAAGACAGGCAAGCAUCUGAAACGACACCCGUGGCACUCUUCAGCAUAAAGAAAUGCAAGGAAGGAGUAAAAGAACAGCGGCUUACUAUCACUUAUAAAAUAUGAGAAGAAAACUUAGCCCAGGUAUGGAAAAAGGAUAAUGUUUGUCCUGACUAUCUCAUCCUAGGAGCCUACAGGCUCAAGUAACCAGUACAGCUGAGAUACUCUUUGAGGCACCCAUCGUUUUACACCUCCUGACCAUGGAAGAGGAUCCCAUGCACACGCAUUGCCCAGUCUUACAGUCGUUACUUCUGUGAGUCAUUCCAAAUCCAAUACAGAGCCAACACUUCCUUAGUACAACAUCCAUCUGCUUCCCUUAGGCACUUCCACUGAAACCAAGUGUGUCAACUGUUACCAGGGGAGGAAGCAUCCAUUUCCAUCACUACACAGUAAACGAAACGACAUUGCUUCCCUUUCUCCUGAUAAAACCUGUUUCGUUACUGCAGCAAUUUACAGUGAUGUACAUACCAGGAUUUGUAAGACAGCAUCGAAUACUUGAGCUGAUAGAGAACUGGUUUGAUGCUUCUCUGCAAAUGCAGUGGCACAAAGUCAGCUCUGGACUCACCUCUUGCCAAUGAGCCUCCAGUGUUUGUCCCCAAGUGGCAGGGGACCCUCAUGAUAAGGAGUUAGUUAUAAAACAACAUUUUUCAACAACGCUGAAGAUAAAUAUUGCCAAGCACAUUGCUUCUGAGCUGAGUACAGAAAAUAAUUUACAAGAGUCAUUUCUACACUCCUUAUUUCCAAACUGACUUUGUGCAGGGUGGCAGCAUCACCAGGAUGCCACAGAACUGUGUACCACUUUAAGGAAACAGCUGCUGCAGAAGUUUCCCACCAGAGUGCCCCCUCCCCGCACCCAAGUCACCCAUUUUUGGUGUCCACAUUCCAGUGAGAGCCAAAUAUCAUCCACAGAGCUGCAGGUGCCAAAAACCACUCAACCUUUGCUCGUAUCUGACCAUGAUCAACUUGGAUUGCAGCAACAGCUUUCAGAGCUGUGAAAACUCAUCUACAAAAAACUUGCUUUGGACUGAAGCGAUUUAGAUUAUGUAUCAAAGCCUGCUAGUCAUUCUCCUCAAAAACUGAAGAUGAAAAACUAACCUCAGCUGUGAUGAAAUCUAAUACUCCUAUGUGAAUUACAGCAUUAUCUGAAAGCUCCAAAGAAGACCUGCCCCUUUUUUUUCUUGCUAGAUACUGUACGAAUGGGGAAAGAAGGAAACAACCUGAAGAGUUUCUACCUUAGUUUUUAAAAAGAUACUUUAAAGAAGCUUAACAAAAAAAGGAACUGGGAAAGAAGGAUGAAGCUAAGAGAGUACCUGACCCCAAACGCUUGCUCUGAGCACAACAGGAAAAUUUUAGAUUGGUAUUUAUUUGAACCUGCACCACAGGUUCAAUGUCUCACAUUUCCAAGGCAGGAGGAAAGGGUCCAGCUCGAAGAAGCCUGUCACCGCCCGAGGACACAGUGGUGGGUAGGAAGAGGACAGGCACAGCUGUAAUAACCCCAGUAGCCGGACAAGCAGCCUGGCAGCACUCAGCUGUAGAGGGGUGAAUAAUAAGAGAAGUUUUAAAAGUCUGUAUGGGUUUUGCUGUGCAAAAAAAGCACAGAAGUGACACAGGAAGGCACUGAUGAAUGGACAGGCAAAAGAGAUUGUAUCUAUAAAAUAAAGAAAACCUGCUGAUGGAGCAGAAGGCAGAUUGAGGGAGAUGAAACUCAACAUAAGUGAGGGGUAAGAAAGAGAAGGUAUAAACACCACUGUAAGGGUUUUUUAAUGCGGGCAGACAAUGAAUACUCUACGGGUAUCUGUAACGACGGGUUACCCAUCUUCCAUGGACCGCACUGGGAAGAGAUGUCUGAAAAGGAGCAAAGACCAGAAGCUCCCUGGGCAAGCAGCUGAGCAGAAGAAGGGGCAAGGAGCCCUGUGGGGGUGCUGGUGCAGGCAGACCCUGUGGCCCCCCUGCCAGGGAUAGAGUGAUGCUGCAGAAUGCCAGAGCAAGCUGGAGGGCAGAGGGAGGGAGGGGCUGGAGGUGGGGAUCAAAUGUGAGCUGGAGGCAGGAGGAGGGAGCUGGCUCAGGGGAGCUGUGCCUGCUCGGGGAGGCUGCAUGGUGUCUGAGCUGAGAAAAGGGGCUGAAGUAGUGAUGGGACGAGGACCUGACGCUGUGCGGAAGGAUUUUGGAAAGAGUGGAAGGAUGCAAUACCUGCAAAAUAAUAUGAGUGCAUAAUUUAAGCAAACUCAUGAGUUUUGGGUACUCUGUUAUUCAAACACGUCUUAGCUGAGUCAAGUUUAGACACAGUAUCCCAUUUAUCUUGGCAUAACCCAAAUCCCUAAAUUAUCUGCCUUUUCAGCCUCCUCACAGGAACUUUUCUUCCAGAUUUUUUAAAACACGAAGUAGCCAAGGAACUGCUUUACAAACAAAUACCAGCCGAGGCGAAGGCUUAACCCUGCUGGAAGGUGCGGCGGGCAGCCCUGCCUCCGGCUGCUGCUGUCCUGCAGUGUCUGCUCUUCUUUCAGCUGGUGCAACAUAUGCAAUUCUCAGACAUGCUGAAAAGCCCCGAGAGCAUGCUAAAUACAUAUAUGUUAGCAUAUCCUACUUGUGGUAUUUACUCAAUAUUGUGAGCUCCCCUCUGCCAGCCUAAAUGUAACCAUUCUAGAAUAAAUAUGGUGUAGACUGGGGUUAUCCUGUGCAGAGACAGGAGUUGGGCUCAGUGAUCCUUGUGGGUCCCUUCCAACUCAGGACACUGAUUCUGUGAUGCUAUGAAAUACCGCUAAAGGGAAGGUGAUGACCUCAGUCUCUAACACAGACAGCAAAGGGCAAAGUGCUGCUCUCCACACAGUGACCCUGCUUUUCAUCACUUUUACGUUAUGUGAGUGCAAAGGCAAUGAUGUCGGUGGUGUUCCCUGGCAUGGCCCCUCUGCUCUCCCUCUCUCCCAUAAAUUUCCUCCUGUGCAGUGGGGACUGGCUCGUUCCCCUUUGAAAAACUGGGGCAGAAGAAGAAAAUGAUGACAGGGUGCAUGUGCUAACGAUAGGAAAACACCAGCUGCUAACAUGGCUCACCCACCAGUUUGCUUGAACAGCAGCAAGCCCUGAGAAUGAGUCAAGGGUUUAUUUUUAAACAUCAGUGUCAGAUCUCUUUGCCAUUUAAAGAGCAUCCUGGGGGGCUGCCCGGGCCCCUCAUCUGCUCUGCAGCACUUCAGCAAGCCACUCCAGUGGCUGUCCCCAUGGCUGUGCCCUCCCCUCCUUGUCCACUGAGGAGCUUGAAAGCUGGAGUGUCCCUCUGCUGCCUCAGCAAGUGCCAAUUACUCUGCUAAAGGGAAUCACUAAGAAAUAUGCAGACUAUGGAAACAUGGCAUGUUGCAGUUCGUAAGCAAGAGCCGCACAGUGUCCACAGAUGCAUGCAUGGCGACACACCAAGUUUCACUUCUAUUUCUCUGU
Molecule: non-coding RNA, 9618 nt
Organism: Phalacrocorax carbo (great cormorant)
Lineage: Eukaryota; Metazoa; Chordata; Aves; Suliformes; Phalacrocoracidae
Source: RefSeq, a predicted model, not a curated record